RNAcentral lists this ribosomal RNA (412 nucleotides) under uncultured microorganism. RNAcentral's name for it is "bacterial SSU rRNA". It matches the Rfam family "Archaeal small subunit ribosomal RNA", at positions 330 to 744 of the family's 1478-position model. The record is from RNAcentral.
GCGCACCAGGCGAGAAACCUUCGCAAUGCGGGAAACCGCGACGAGGGGACUCCCAGUGCCUACGCUCAGCGUAGGCUGUUCCCGAGCCUAGAAAGCUCGGGGAGUAAGGGCUGGGUAAGACGGGUGCCAGCCGCCGCGGUAAUACCCGCAGCCCGAGUGGUGGCCACUAUUAUUGGGCCUAAAGCGUCCGUAGCCGGCCCGGUAAAUGCCUGGGUAAAUCGUGAGGCCUAACCUCACGAAUUCCGGGUAGACUGCCGGGCUAGGGACCGGAGGAGGGAGAGGGUACUCCAGGGGUAGGGGUGAAAUCCUGUAAUCCCUGGAGGACCACCGGUGGCGAAGGCGCUCUCCUAGGACGGGUCCGACGGUGAGGGACGAAAGCCAGGGGAGCGAACCGGAUUAGAUACCCGUGUAG